GACGAACGCUGGCGGCGUGCUUAACACAUGCAAGUCGAACGCGCCUGUCCUCUGGGUUUCUGGGGGGUGGGUGAGUGGCGAACGGGUGAGUAACACGUGAGUAACCUGCCCCCUUCUUCGGGAUAACGGUCUGAAAGGGCUGCUAAUACCGGGUAUUCACUGGUCUCCGCAUGGGGUCUGGUGGAAAGGUUUUUUUUUGGUGGGGGAUGGGCUCGCGGCCUAUCAGCUUGUUGGUGGGGUGAUGGCCCACCAAGGCUUUGACGGGUAGCCGGCCUGAGAGGGUGACCGGUCACAUUGGGACUGAGAUACGGCCCAGACUCCUACGGGAGGCAGCAGUGGGGAAUAUUGCACAAUGGGCGCAAGCCUGAUGCAGCGACGCCGCGUGAGGGAUGGAGGCCUUCGGGUUGUGAACCUCUUUCGCCCGUGGUCAAGCCGCGACGUGGGUCGUGGUGAGGGUAGUGGGUAAAGAAGCGCCGGCUAACUACGUG
Molecule: ribosomal RNA, 488 nt
Filed under: uncultured bacterium
Lineage: Bacteria
Description: partial 16S ribosomal RNA
Rfam family: Bacterial small subunit ribosomal RNA
Source: RNAcentral